AUGUUAGAAAGAGCGUAGCCUUAGGAUCUGGCAGACCCAGGGGCCACUUAAUUAACCCUUUGCCUCUUUGACCCUCAAUCUCCUUUUCUCUAAGCCAUAGGUCACCAGAAAGCCUACCUCACAGGGCUGUUGUGAGGGCCGAGGGUGGGGGCGCUGCAACAGUGCUGUGCAGAUGCUGGCUUUCCCUGGGAAUGGGCAUAUGUUGGGAUUUGUCUUGAAAGCAUGAGUGAUGGCUUUACCAGUCCUAAGUGAAUAAAAAGUCAGCCCUGACCUUACGCUGGGAUUGCAUUUCCCACAGUCAGUGGCAUGUACAGACCACUGGCGGAGCAGCCUGCAGGUGCUUAGCGAUGUGGGCCCAGAGUAAAUAUUUGUUUGAUUGAUGAGUGAUGGCUUUUUCCUUCCUCAGAGGUUGCCCUGCCCCCCAUUCCAACGUGGGCUGCUGCUUCUCCCCAGCAGGUUGUAGCUGGCAGGGCCGUUGUGCUUUGGGGUUUGCUGUACCUGUCGCUGCCGUGAGGGGACGAUCUGUCUGCCUGGAGGGGUUUCUGCAAACAUUCAUGUAUGCCCCUGCUUUCGUUUGUUAGGGAGAAGGAGUGGGGUGACCUAGAGAGAGGAUGAGGAAGGGGUUCUGGGUGGCAUCCUUGGGGUACCAACCCUCCUUCCAUCCUGCGCUCUGAAUUUUCUCACAGCCCUUUUCUGUUCCUGGUAGAAGGUGCAGAAGGUAGGCUUUGCCACCUUCCCUGGGCCUGGCACCAAGCUCUGGGGUCUUGUACACACUUUCCCUUCUCUAACUGGGGUGUGGGCCCAUUUCCUAGAUGAGCUUGCUGAGAAUCAGGACAGCUGGUAUCAGAGCCAGGACUUCCCAGUCUUGCACAAAUAACCUGUGCAUUUUUGAGUCCACCAAAUAAGGCCUCCUGCCUGGUCCGGCUCACCCCUGCCAGCCCCCAGCAAAUGCAGCCUGGUGCGUCCCCACCCCUGCCAAGAGCCCGGGAGUGCUCUGGCAGAGAAGUGCAGGGAUGAGGAAGGAGGCUGUGCCCUCCAGGGGACUCAGCUGCGUUAGAGGAGUUGCUGCAGCACUGGCAGGGGUCUCCAGACAUCCCAUGCAGGGGUCCUUUCAGAUCAGGCGUCUCUUCACCAGACCACCGUAUUCCUUUUUCAGCCCUCGUCUCUUGCACGUGGGGGUGCAGUGUUUGGCUCUCACAUCCCCACAUUCCAGCUGGUGGGGGUUUGAGCUAGGUGUUCCUUCUGCUCCCCACUCCCCACUCACGGCCCCCACCCCGUGCAAGCCUCCCUUGCCCCCACUCUUUGUCUCCAGCUUUCACAGCCUUGGUGGGCAGGCUGCUGGGCCUGUUGCCGCCCCCGCUCUCUUCCACCCGCCUCUUCUUUCUCAGCCUGAGCUUUACUGUGAGGUCUGGGUGCCACACCUUGGCCCCUGCCAUGCCUGCCCCCAGAAGCACCCACGUGGGUCCCCUGAUUCUCUCCUCCCCUGGGCUUUGCUAAGGAGCCCUUUCAUUGUGGCCUUUGGUGUCUGCCUCAUGCCCAUCCCCUGUUCUUGAGAACUUGGAAGCAGAGGGGGCCCCUCCUAUUGCUCCCAAGAGGCUCCACAGUAGGGAGCCCCUCCCAGGAGAUUCUGAGUCUGUGUUUAGGUGUCGAUUCCUGGGUGGGCCUUGGGGUCCCCUCAGGCCAGGCCUGUGUGUGACCUAAGGCUGGGGGGCUCUAUCAGGCACCUGGUGUCCCUUGGAGGUGGGCGGGGCUGGGUCCUGGUCUCCUGAGGACGGGUGGGGAGACAGGCUCAGGGAGAUUUCCACGAAGCUGCCCUUGAACCCCUCCUCUGAGGCCCGCACUGCCCUGGCCCUUUACACCCUGCCUCCUGCACUAGUAGGCGCAUAAUAGAUGCUCGCCACCUGUGGAGGGCAGGGUUUAAAUGGCUGGAAAGAGCUGAGUGGGCUGUUUGGCUAGCGUACGCGCAUUUGUUUAAAAGGAAAGGGUGUGUUUCUUGGCAAAGACUCUUCGGAGGAAAUGCUGAACUGGGGAAGGGUCUCUACCUGUUCUGGGGCCUCACUGCCCUUCCUGCCGGGGACAGGCAGUCACUGGUGGCUUUCCCCCCAGUGGAAACACAAUAUUUUGGAAAUAUUUAUAUCUAGGAUAAAACUUCAUCUGGACCAACAUGUCUUUGUUGGUGUUGUGGCCCAGGUGAUUUUGAGAAUGUAGAAUACAUUUGGCAAUUUCCAAACGGAGUGAUGACCCGCUCCUCCGCCCCCCCCUGCCCUCCCUGAGGCUGGAGGCUUCAGAAGCCCCUGCCUUGGGAGGAGGCUGUUCUACCUGAGAAGUCUUUGUCCCCACCGUUGGUGACAAUCAGCAUUGACCUGUGAGGCACCUGCCAGGUUUGGGACGCAGCUUUAGACAUCCAGAAAACCGGGGGUGGAGGGGUGGGGUGGGGGCUUCAGACCCCAGAGCUUGAUUCCUUUUAACUGUCUCAUCCCCAAAGAAUGGUACAUGGGUACCAGGUAGGUUACUUGAAUCACCCUGAGCCUCGAUUUUCCCACCCGUUAGAAACGGGGUAAUUCAUGACAGUGUCCGCUUGGGAGACGGCUGUGACCCCUGAGAAUUCUCGCUGCAUGCCGUGGGCUGGCUCGUGAGACUCAAGGUCUGGGUUCGAGGCCCCCGCAACCCCUUCUGACUGUGUGGCCUGGGCGAGUUUGUUGUUUGUAACCUGGAAAGCGUCACACCUGCCUGGCACGGUUAUUGUGGGCUUCAAUGAGAUUGUUUGUGUGAAAUAAACGCUUUGUGACUGGCACACAGGCGCUCUCAUCCCGGCUCUCCUGGUGGGCCCGGACCGCUGGGUGCUGGCUGCGGAGGCCCUGUGCUCCCUGGAACUGUCUGCGCUGGUCCCAGGGACUCUUGGGCAGAGUGGAGGGCAAGGGGGGAAGCACCAGCCUGCUCUGGGGAGACAGUGGCAGAGGGAAGGGUUUGUUUUUAAAUACACUCAGCAGGUUCAGACAGGAGAGGAUCAGAGGGGAAAUGUUUAGAGCCCUCAGGAGGAGGAGGGGACCGAGUUUUAGGAAAAACAUCAAAGCUGGAUAGGUUGGGCAGAAGAGCUGGGGAUAGCAUUUAGAGAGACUCUGGACCCGGGGCCUCCCCUUGAGUAGAGACCCGCCCUCUGACUGAUGGACGCCGCUGACCUGGGGUCAGACCCGUGGGCUGGACCCCUGCCCACCCCGCAGGAACCCUGAGGCCUAGGGGAGCUGUUGAGCCUUCGGUGUCUGCAUGUGGGAAGUGGGCUCCUUCACCUACCUCACAGGGCUGUUGUGAGGGGCGCUGUGAUGCGGUUCCAAAGCACAGGGCUUGGCGCACCCCACUGUGCUCUCAAUAAAUGUGUUUCCUGUCUU
Molecule: long non-coding RNA, 3386 nt
Filed under: Pan troglodytes (chimpanzee)
Lineage: Eukaryota; Metazoa; Chordata; Mammalia; Primates; Hominidae
Description: lincRNA
Source: RNAcentral